This 168-nucleotide unclassified non-coding RNA is filed under the name uncultured Leptodontidium. RNAcentral's name for it is "sequence contains ITS1". The record is from RNAcentral. Lineage: Eukaryota; Fungi; Ascomycota.
CAGAGUUCAUGCCCUUCCGGGUAGAUCUCCCACCCUGUGCUAUCGUUACCCUUGUUGCUUUGGCGGGCCGUCCGGCCUCGGUCAGGCUACCGGCUCCGGCUGGUAAGCGCCCGCCAGAGGACCCAAAACCCUGAAUGUUAGUGUCGUCUGAGUACUAUAUAAUAGUUA